RNAcentral lists this ribosomal RNA (643 nucleotides) under Cibicidoides wuellerstorfi. RNAcentral's name for it is "partial 18S ribosomal RNA". It matches the Rfam family "Eukaryotic small subunit ribosomal RNA", at positions 1313 to 1727 of the family's 1831-position model. The record is from RNAcentral. Lineage: Eukaryota; Foraminifera; Rotaliida; Anomalinidae.
GUCUUAGACAUCGCUUUGCUCAUACAAUUAGGUCCUAGAAAGCAACGAACGUGACCGCAACCUCUUGUUGCCUUUAUACCAAACAUGUUUAUUCAUUUUUUAAUGUUCAUUCAUGAAAAAAGGCUUUUUAAACUAGAGGGACCGCUGUUACUUUCUUAAACCAGAGGAAGGUUGCGGCAAUAACAGGUCUGUGAUGCCCUUAGAUGUUCCGGGCUGCACACGUGCUACAAUGAUUAUUGCAGUGAGCAUCUCAUUUUUACACACCGCAUGCGCGAGUCCAUUUAUUCACCUUCGGGUGUUUUAAAUGUGUACCUCUGCGCGCGGUAAAGCCUGCUUCGAAAGUAAGUGGGUAAUCAAUUAGAAGUAAUGAUUUCCUUUUUUAGCACACAUAUAUACGGCGUCUAUGCCCGGGUUACCUUGUUGUAGCUUUUGUGUGUAUAGAUGUUUUUUCCGUAUGUGCGAUUGUCAAUUCAUGGUGGGGACAGACCAUUGUUAAUUGUUGGUCUCGGUCUUAACUAGGAAUGCCUUGUACGGGUCUUUGGUUCAACAAACCACCCGGAAUACGUCCCUGCCCUUUGUACACACCGCCCGUCGCUACUUACCGAUGGACUUCUCUGUGAGUUUGAGGGCCCUGGGAACGCAG